Long non-coding RNA from Bos taurus (domestic cattle), 788 nucleotides. Lineage: Eukaryota; Metazoa; Chordata; Mammalia; Artiodactyla; Bovidae. The record is from Ensembl.
GUGAGCACUAGAAGGGAUUUGGAGACCUCCAGCCCGGCCUCCUCUUGCUCUAUAGAUGGGAGGCCGGGGCCUGGAGAGGCUCACUCAGGGUUUCACAGUCAAGAACCAGAACCCCAACCUGUGCGGGCUUGCUUCCUCCCUCUUUUUCUCUCACCCUGCAGCCAGAAACAGCUCCUCCACUUCCCAGUCACCAUCUGAGAAAGAACCAGCCACAGGGCUGUACUCUAAUUGGGGAUGGAGGAUAGGACGUGGUUUGUCUCAGUUUCCAGAGUGGCUCAUGAGCUAUAAACCCCAAGCAAUGGGUUCAUGCCUCAGCUUACUCUGUGGCUUAUAAUUACCUAUGAGUCUGCCUUCCUUGCCAAACUGAGUUCCUUCAGGGCACAGACCAUGCCUUACUCAUCUUUGGGACCACAGUGCUGGCCUAAAGCUUUUCUCUAGUUCCGGCGAGUGGGGGCUACUCUUCGUUGAGGCCUUCCCAGAGCCUCUGUCCCUUCAUGGCUGCAAAGACUCUAAACCAGCAUGUCCCGAGCUCCUCAUCCUCCUCCCAGUCAGGCCCCUGACACAGGGAGUCCACUUACUCCUCUCGACAACCUGGUGAAGGAGACGGUGUUGGCCCGAUCCUACAGAUCAAGCCUCCGUGACUCAGUGCUCAGCUCACCCAUUAAGUGCCAGAGCCAGUGUGGCCUCCGGAGACCUUCGUGGUGCUCCAGAGCAGCUAAACCACAGCAUCUGGCUUGUUGCUGGGACUCUGGUGCUUUGGGCCACUCUUCCCCCCAUCCCCCCACCAC